This 459-nucleotide ribosomal RNA is filed under the name uncultured bacterium. RNAcentral describes it as "partial 16S ribosomal RNA". It matches the Rfam family "Bacterial small subunit ribosomal RNA", at positions 338 to 795 of the family's 1533-position model. The record is from RNAcentral.
CCUACGGGAGGCAGCAGUGAGGAAUAUUGGUCAAUGGGAGAGAUCCUGAACCAGCCAAGCCGCGUGAGGGAAGACGGCCCUAUGGGUUGUAAACCUCUUUUGUCGGGGAACAUAUCCCGGGACGUGUCGCGUACGGCGCGUAUCCGACGAUACAACAUGGGGAAACUCCGUGGCAGCAGCAGGGGUAAUACGGAGUAUGCGAGCGUUAUCCGGAUUUAUUGGGGUUAAUAGGUGCGUGGGGGGUCCGUUAAGUCAGCGGUAAAAUUGCGGGGCUAAACCCCGUCGAGCCGUUGAAACUGGCAGACUUGAGUUGGCGAGAAGUACGCGGAAUGCGUGGUGUAGCGGUGAAAUGCAUAGAUAUCGAGCAGAACUCCGAUUGCGAAGGCAGCGUACCGGCGCCAGACUGACGCUGAGGCACGAAAGCGUGGGGAUCGAACAGGAUUAGAUACCCUGGUAGUC